AUUGCUUCUCGGCCUUUUGGCUAAGAUCAAGUGUAGUAUCUUCUGUCCUAUGAAGAAUGAAGAAACUGGAUGAGCUCUUAAGAGAUAAACUAUUAGGAGAUGGCAAGGCUCCUUUCCAUGUUGAAGACUAUACACUAUUAAUUUUGACUUAUUGUAAUGACUUAAAAAGUUUCAUGCUGCCUGCUACAUUUUAUAGAGUAUAGCUUGCCCUUC
Molecule: small nuclear RNA, 213 nt
Organism: Gallus gallus (chicken)
Lineage: Eukaryota; Metazoa; Chordata; Aves; Galliformes; Phasianidae
Gene: U2
Rfam family: U2 spliceosomal RNA
About the family: U2 is a small nuclear RNA (snRNA) component of the spliceosome (involved in pre-mRNA splicing). Complementary binding between U2 snRNA (in an area lying towards the 5' end but 3' to hairpin I) and the branchpoint sequence (BPS) of the intron results the bulging out of an unpaired adenosine, on the BPS, which initiates a nucleophilic attack at the intronic 5' splice site, thus starting the first of two transesterification reactions that mediate splicing.
Source: Ensembl